RNAcentral lists this ribosomal RNA (492 nucleotides) under uncultured bacterium. RNAcentral's name for it is "partial 16S ribosomal RNA". It matches the Rfam family "Bacterial small subunit ribosomal RNA", at positions 29 to 507 of the family's 1533-position model. The record is from RNAcentral.
AGUGAACGCUGGCGGUAGGCCUAACACAUGCAAGUCGAACGGCAGCACAGUAAGAGCUUGCUCUUACGGGUGGCGAGUGGCGGACGGGUGAGGAAUACAUCGGAAUCUACUUUUUCGUGGGGGAUAACGUAGGGAAACUUACGCUAAUACCGCAUACGACCUACGGGUUAAAGCAGGGGAUCUUCGGACCUUGCGCGAUUGAAUGAGCCGAUGUCGGAUUAGCUAGUUGGCGGGGUAAAGGCCCACCAAGGCGACGAUCCGUAGCUGGUCUGAGAGGAUGAUCAGCCACACUGGAACUGAGACACGGUCCAGACUCCUACGGGAGGCAGCAGUGGGGAAUCUUGGGCAAUGGGCGAAAGCCUGAUGCAGCCAUGCCGCGUGGGUGAAGAAGGCCUUCGGGUUGUAAAGCCCUUUUGUUGGGAAAGAAAAGCAGCAUGUGAAUCCACGGCUGUUCUGACGGUACCCAAAGAAUAAGCACCGGCUAACUUCGUG